AACGAACGCUGGCGGCAGGCUUAACACAUGCAAGUCGAACGCAUCGCAAGAUGAGUGGCAGACGGGUGAGUAACGCGUGGGAACAUACCCUUUUCUACGGAAUAGCUCUGGGAAACUGGAAUUAAUACCGUAUACGCCCUACGGGGGAACGAUUUAUCGGGGAAGGAUUGGCCCGCGUUGGAUUGGCUAGUUGGUGGGGUAAAGGCCUACCAAGGCGACGAUCCAUAGCUGGUCUGAGAGGAUGAUCAGCCACAUUGGGACUGAGCCACGGCCCAAACUCCUACGGGAGGCAGCAGGGGGGAAUAUUGGACAAUGGGCGCAAGCCUGAUCCAGCCAUGCCGCGGGAGUGAUGAAGGCCUUAGGGUUGUAAAGCUCUUUCACCGAUGAAGAUAAUGACGGGAGUCGGAGAAGAAGCCCCGGCUAACUUCGUGCCAGCCGCCGCCGUAA
RNAcentral lists this ribosomal RNA (447 nucleotides) under uncultured bacterium. RNAcentral's name for it is "partial 16S ribosomal RNA". It matches the Rfam family "Bacterial small subunit ribosomal RNA", at positions 29 to 523 of the family's 1533-position model. The record is from RNAcentral.